Non-coding RNA from Eublepharis macularius, 73 nucleotides. NCBI's taxonomy places the organism in Eukaryota, Metazoa, Chordata, Lepidosauria, Squamata, Eublepharidae. The record is from the annotation of a RefSeq genome assembly.
UCCCCUGGUGGUCUAGUGGUCAGGAUUCGGCGCUCUCACCGCUGCGGCCUGGGUUUGAUUCCCAGCCAGGGAA